AACGAGUUAUCUGAACCUUCGGGGAACGAUAACGGCGUCGAGCGGCGGACGGGUGAGUAAUGCCUAGGAAAUUGCCCUGAUGUGGGGGAUAACCAUUGGAAACGAUGGCUAAUACCGCAUGAUGCCUACGGGCCAAAGAGGGGGACCUUCGGGCCUCUCGCGUCAGGAUAUGCCUAGGUGGGAUUAGCUAGUUGGUGAGGUAAGGGCUCACCAAGGCGACGAUCCCUAGCUGGUCUGAGAGGAUGAUCAGCCACACUGGAACUGAGACACGGUCCAGACUCCUACGGGAGGCAGCAGUGGGGAAUAUUGCACAAUGGGCGCAAGCCUGAUGCAGCCAUGCCGCGUGUGUGAAGAAGGCCUUCGGGUUGUAAAGCACUUUCAGUCGUGAGGAAGGUGGUGUAGUUAAUAGCUGCAUUAUUUGACGUUAGCGACAGAAGAAGCACCGGCUAACUCCGUGCCAGCAGCCGCGGUAAUACGGAGGGUGCGAGCGUUAAUCGGAAUUACUGGGCGUAAAGCGCAUGCAGGUGGUUUGUUAAGUCAGAUGUGAAAGCCCGGGGCUCAACCUCGGAAUAGCAUUUGAAACUGGCAGACUAGAGUACUGUAGAGGGGGGUAGAAUUUCAGGUGUAGCGGUGAAAUGCGUAGAGAUCUGAAGGAAUACCGGUGGCGAAGGCGGCCCCCUGGACAGAUACUGACACUCAGAUGCGAAAGCGUGGGGAGCAAACAGGAUUAGAUACCCUGGUAGUCCACGCCGUAAACGAUGUCUACUUGGAGGUUGUGGCCUUGAGCCGUGGCUUUCGGAGCUAACGCGUUAAGUAGACCGCCUGGGGAGUACGGUCGCAAGAUUAAAACUCAAAUGAAUUGACGGGGGCCCGCACAAGCGGUGGAGCAUGUGGUUUAAUUCGAUGCAACGCGAAGAACCUUACCUACUCUUGACAUCCAGAGAACUUUCCAGAGAUGGAUUGGUGCCUUCGGGAACUCUGAGACAGGUGCUGCAUGGCUGUCGUCAGCUCGUGUUGUGAAAUGUUGGGUUAAGUCCCGCAACGAGCGCAACCCUUAUCCUUGUUUGCCAGCGAGUAAUGUCGGGAACUCCAGGGAGACUGCCGGUGAUAAACCGGAGGAAGGUGGGGACGACGUCAAGUCAUCAUGGCCCUUACGAGUAGGGCUACACACGUGCUACAAUGGCGCAUACAGAGGGCGGCCAACUUGCGAAAGUGAGCGAAUCCCAAAAAGUGCGUCGUAGUCCGGAUUGGAGUCUGCAACUCGACUCCAUGAAGUCGGAAUCGCUAGUAAUCGUGGAUCAGAAUGCCACGGUGAAUACGUUCCCGGGCCUUGUACACACCGCCCGUCACACCAUGGGAGUGGGCUGCAAAAGAAGUAGGUAGUUUAAC
This 1389-nucleotide ribosomal RNA is filed under the name Vibrio sp. RNAcentral's name for it is "bacterial SSU rRNA". It matches the Rfam family "Bacterial small subunit ribosomal RNA", at positions 65 to 1439 of the family's 1533-position model. The record is from RNAcentral. Lineage: Bacteria; Pseudomonadati; Pseudomonadota; Gammaproteobacteria; Vibrionales; Vibrionaceae.